Molecule: long non-coding RNA, 401 nt
Organism: Macrobrachium nipponense
Lineage: Eukaryota; Metazoa; Arthropoda; Malacostraca; Decapoda; Palaemonidae
Exons: 3
Source: RefSeq, a predicted model, not a curated record
GUCAUCACUCAAUUUUAUUCCUUCUUUUCAGGUGAGGGUCAAGUCUGGUGUCGCAGGUGAAGGUUUUUGAAGGUUCCCCUAAUGACGUACGUCUUUUGUGUGGGAGGAUCGUCUCUUUGCGGAUCAAGAUGAGUUGUGGGCCGCGUCGGAAGCAGUAUGUUACGGCUCGUACCCCGGAGCUGCAGAAAUAAGAUGUCGUAAUCUGCGUCCGAUAAGUCUCUGGGAGCGAUGGACGCCAUUGCAUGGAGAGAGAGAGAGAGAGAGAGAGAGAGAAGGAAAAAAUAACAGGUUUGAUUUAGUACGGUCAGUAAAUCAUGGUCUUUGAAUUAUCAGGAAGCAGGUGGUGUGCUUUGUAAUGGCCGGAAGUAUAUACUUUUUUUUCCCCACGGUGCCGAAAUGGC